Molecule: transfer RNA, 73 nt
Filed under: Anaerolineales bacterium
Lineage: Bacteria; Bacillati; Chloroflexota; Anaerolineae; Anaerolineales
Description: tRNA-Arg
Rfam family: tRNA
About the family: Transfer RNA (tRNA) molecules are approximately 80 nucleotides in length. Their secondary structure includes four short double-helical elements and three loops (D, anti-codon, and T loops). Further hydrogen bonds mediate the characteristic L-shaped molecular structure. tRNAs have two regions of fundamental functional importance: the anti-codon, which is responsible for specific mRNA codon recognition, and the 3' end, to which the tRNAs corresponding amino acid is attached (by aminoacyl-tRNA synthetases). tRNAs cope with the degeneracy of the genetic code in two manners: having more than one tRNA (with a specific anti-codon) for a particular amino acid; and 'wobble' base-pairing, i.e. permitting non-standard base-pairing at the 3rd anti-codon position.
Source: RNAcentral
GCUCCUGUAGUUCAGUGGAUAGAGCGCGACCUUGCGGAGGUCGGAGUCGCUGGUUCGAAUCCAGCCAGGAGUA